GACAGAGGCCUCGAGCGUUAGGCGGAAUCACUGGGCUUAAAGCGCGUGUAGGCGGAUCGUUAAGUGCCUUGUGAAAUCCUGCGGCUCAACCGCAGAACCGCUGGGCAUACUGGCGGUCUUGGGCCACUCAGGGGUCACUGGAACAAGCGGUGGAGCGGUGAAAUGCGUAGAUAUCGCUUGGAACGCCAAAGGCGAAAGCAGACGACUGGGAUUGCGCUGACGCUGAGACACGAAAGCCAGGGGAGCAAACGGG
Molecule: ribosomal RNA, 253 nt
Filed under: uncultured bacterium
Lineage: Bacteria
Description: partial 16S ribosomal RNA
Rfam family: Bacterial small subunit ribosomal RNA
Source: RNAcentral